RNAcentral lists this ribosomal RNA (1028 nucleotides) under Methanosarcina mazei. RNAcentral describes it as "bacterial SSU rRNA". It matches the Rfam family "Archaeal small subunit ribosomal RNA", at positions 278 to 1306 of the family's 1478-position model. Lineage: Archaea; Methanobacteriati; Methanobacteriota; Methanomicrobia; Methanosarcinales; Methanosarcinaceae. The record is from RNAcentral.
GAGAGCAAGAGCCCGGAGAUGGAUUCUGAGACAUGAAUCCAGGCCCUACGGGGCGCAGCAGGCGCGAAAACUUUACAAUGCGGGAAACCGUGAUAAGGGGACACCGAGUGCCAGCAUCAUAUGCUGGCUGUCCGGAUGUGUAAAAUACAUCCGUUAGCAAGGGCCGGGCAAGACCGGUGCCAGCCGCCGCGGUAACACCGGCGGCCCGAGUGGUGAUCGUGAUUAUUGGGUCUAAAGGGUCCGUAGCCGGUUUGGUCAGUCCUCCGGGAAAUCUGAUAGCUCAACUAUUAGGCUUUCGGGGGAUACUGCCAGACUUGGAACCGGGAGAGGUAAGAGGUACUACAGGGGUAGGAGUGAAAUCUUGUAAUCCCUGUGGGACCACCUGUGGCGAAGGCGUCUUACCAGAACGGGUUCGACGGUGAGGGACGAAAGCUGGGGGCACGAACCGGAUUAGAUACCCGGGUAGUCCCAGCCGUAAACGAUGCUCGCUAGGUGUCAGGCAUGGCGCGACCGUGUCUGGUGCCGCAGGGAAGCCGUGAAGCGAGCCACCUGGGAAGUACGGCCGCAAGGCUGAAACUUAAAGGAAUUGGCGGGGGAGCACAACAACGGGUGGAGCCUGCGGUUUAAUUGGACUCAACGCCGGACAACUCACCGGGGGCGACAGCAAUAUGUAGGCCAAGCUGAAGACUUUGCCUGAAUCGCUGAGAGGAGGUGCAUGGCCGUCGCCAGUUCGUACUGUGAAGCAUCCUGUUAAGUCAGGCAACGAGCGAGACCCGUGCCCACUGUUACCAGCAUGUCCUCCGGGACGAUGGGUACUCUGUGGGGACCGCCGAUGUUAAAUCGGAGGAAGGUGCGGGCCACGGUAGGUCAGUAUGCCCCGAAUCUCCCGGGCUACACGCGGGCUACAAUGGAUGGGACAAUGGGUCCCUCCCCUGAAAAGGGCUGGUAAUCUCACAAACCCAUUCGUAGUUCGGAUCGAGGGCUGUAACUCGCCCUCGUGAAGCUGGAAUCCGUAGUAAUCGCGUCAA